Molecule: ribosomal RNA, 861 nt
Filed under: Penicillium canariense
Lineage: Eukaryota; Fungi; Ascomycota; Eurotiomycetes; Eurotiales; Aspergillaceae
Description: LSU rRNA
Rfam family: Eukaryotic large subunit ribosomal RNA
Source: RNAcentral
CGGCGAGUGAAGCGGCAGAGCUCAAAUUUGAAAGCUGGCCCCCUCGGGGUCCGCAUUGUAAUUUGCAGAGGAUGCUUCGGGAGCGGCCCCCAUCUAAGUGCCCUGGAACGGGCCGUCAUAGAGGGUGAGAAUCCCGUCUGGGAUGGGGUGUCCGCGCCCGUGUGAAGCUCCUUCGACGAGUCGAGUUGUUUGGGAAUGCAGCUCUAAAUGGGUGGUAAAUUUCAUCUAAAGCUAAAUACUGGCCGGAGACCGAUAGCGCACAAGUAGAGUGAUCGAAAGAUGAAAAGCACUUUGAAAAGAGAGUUAAACAGCACGUGAAAUUGUUGAAAGGGAAGCGCUUGCGACCAGACUCGCUCGCGGGGUUCAGCCGGCAUUCGUGCCGGUGUACUUCCCCGCGAGCGGGCCAGCGUCGGUUUGGGCGGCCGGUCAAAGGCCCUCGGAAUGUAACGCCCCCCGGGGCGUCUUAUAGCCGAGGGUGCCAUGCGGCCAGCCCGGACCGAGGAACGCGCUUCGGCUCGGACGCUGGCAUAAUGGUCGUAAGCGACCCGUCUUGAAACACGGACCAAGGAGUCUAACAUCUACGCGAGUGUUCGGGUGUCAAACCCGUGCGCGCAGUGAAAGCGAACGGAGGUGGGAACCCCUCGGGGUGCACCAUCGACCGAUCCUGAUGUCUUCGGAUGGAUUUGAGUAAGAGCGUAGCUGUUGGGACCCGAAAGAUGGUGAACUAUGCCUGAAUAGGGCGAAGCCAGAGGAAACUCUGGUGGAGGCUCGCAGCGGUUCUGACGUGCAAAUCGAUCGUCAAAUUUGGGUAUAGGGGCGAAAGACUAAUCGAACCAUCUAGUAGCUGGUUCCUGCCGAAGU